Molecule: unclassified non-coding RNA, 262 nt
Filed under: Hevea brasiliensis (rubber tree)
Lineage: Eukaryota; Viridiplantae; Streptophyta; Magnoliopsida; Malpighiales; Euphorbiaceae
Source: RNAcentral
AAAAAAAACCUUUCUCAAAACAUCUUAAAUAUUCAGUGUAGCUGCUUCUAAUGCUUCAUGGACCAAUUUCUUCCUCCCAAACUCAUUCUGGGUCUGCUUGCAAAUUUCUCAAACUGCAGGUAGGCUAUAACAAUGCAUAACAAGGAAGGAGGGAAGAGAAUUCUCUGUUUUCUUCUCAAACCCAUAGUAGAAGUUGACAGAUUCUCAAUACAGAACAAACAAGGAAAACCAGAACUUCAUUACACGACGUAUCGUCCCACGA